CUCAAGGUCACGCGCAUUCUGUCUUGCUUGCCUCUUGAUCCUAUUAAUCCAUUUUUGUUUUUCUGUUAGAUUUCUGUCGCUCUCCGUCUUUCUGUCACUCACUGUGCGCACGCACAGCAACGUGUCAACCUCCAGGUCCUCUUGUUCCUACGUCUCAUCUCCCCGCAGCUCGUGGCUAUCUUCACCCUCUACGGCUCCUUCAUGAUGGCCCCCUAAUCUGUGCCAGUGUGGUUCCAUGAAGGGAAGCUACGGAGAGGUUUGGCAUCGGUGAUGCUAACGAUGCUGAGGGCGACCGUUACAAGGAACAGAGAUGGAUUCGAAAGGAAGAGAUUGAACUGUCAAUAGGAUGGAACAGUGGAGUGAAGUGAAUGUGUAGCUCAUGUCACUUCCUCUCCCGAGAACAUAAGGAAGUUUUUCUGAUUUCGGCGGUGCCAGCCCCCUGUGUAGUCCAGCGUGUACACGGGCUUAUUAAACCAGGCUCCUAUUCAGUCCACCCAACGGUCGCUCCGCUGUCAACUUAAGCCCAAGCCAUUCCAACACUCCACGACUAUUGUUGCAAGCUUCUCCAGAACUCGGUAUUGCUAGACAGCCGAUGUGCAGAGGGAGAGCGGGAAAGGCCCCGCCUAUCCUCAUAUCUAAUGCAUAAUUAUCUUUUGAUGCGUUGCAAUUUCCCCCGUGUGGAUGGUUCUUAAAAAGAUGUCUUUUUUUUUCAUUUAUUAUCCAUGUCUUGCAUAAGAGAUAUUUUGACAUUUUCUGAUGAGCCAGUUGCUGAGAUAUCACGGAGGCUUUAAUCGUCUCCUGUGAGCUGGCAAGCUCACGAGGUAACCAAAUGAUUGACGAUUAUUAUUUCAUACGAGAAAAACAAACAAACUGCAAGCAAAAGUUUUUCAGAUAUUGCCUUGGGUAUUUGUUGUGGUCUGUCGCAAUGCAAAAAGGA
Gasterosteus aculeatus aculeatus (three-spined stickleback) is the source of this 937-nucleotide long non-coding RNA. Lineage: Eukaryota; Metazoa; Chordata; Actinopteri; Perciformes; Gasterosteidae. The record is from Ensembl.